GAUGAACGCUAGCUACAGGCUUAACACAUGCAAGUCGAGGGGCAGCAUGGAAGAAGCUUGCUUCUUCUGAUGGCGACCGGCGCACGGGUGCGUAACGCGUAUCAAACCUGCCUCAUACUCGGGGAUAGCCUUGCGAAAGUAAGAUUAAUACCCGAUGUUGUUAUGUUACCGCAUGGUGAUAUAACCAAAGAUUUAUCGGUAUGAGAUGGUGAUGCGUCCGAUUAGGUAGUAGGCGGGGUAACGGCCCACCUAGCCUUCGAUCGGUAGGGGUUCUGAGAGGAAGGUCCCCCACACUGGAACUGAGACACGGCCCAGACUCCUACGGGAGGCAGCAGUAGGGAAUCUUCGGCAAUGGACGGAAGUCUGACCGAGCAACGCCGCGUGAGUGAAGAAGGUUUUCGGAUCGUAAAGCUCUGUUGUAAGAGAAGAACGAGUGUGAGAGUGGAAAGUUCACACUGUGACGGUAUCUUACCAGAAAGGGACGGCUAACUACGUGCCAGCAGCCGCGGUAAUACGUAGGUCCCGAACGUUGUCCGGAUUUAUUGGGCGUAAAGCGAGCGCAGGCGGUUAGAUAAGUCUGAAGUUAAAGGCUGUGGCUUAACCAUAGUACGCUUUGGAAACUGUUUAACUUGAGUGCAAGAGGGGAGAGUGGAAUUCCAUGUGUAGCGGUGAAAUGCGUAGAUAUAUGGAGGAACACCGGUGGCGAAAGCGGCUCUCUGGCUUGUAACUGACGCUGAGGCUCGAAAGCGUGGGGAGCAAACAGGAUUAGAUACCCUGGUAGUCCACGCCGUAAACGAUGAGUGCUAGGUGUUAGACCCUUUCCGGGGUUUAGUGCCGUAGCUAACGCAUUAAGCACUCCGCCUGGGGAGUACGACCGCAAGGUUGAAACUCAAAGGAAUUGACGGGGGCCCGCACAAGCGAUGGAGCAUGUGGUUUAAUUCGAAGCAACGCGAAGGACCUUACCAGGUCUUGACAUCCCUCUGACCGCUCUAGAGAUAGAGUUUUCCUUCGGGACAGAGGUGACAGGUGGUGCAUGGUUGUCGUCAGCUCGUGUCGUGAGAUGUUGGGUUAAGUCCCGCAACGAGCGCGACCCCUAUUGUUAGUUGCCAUCAUUUAGUUGGGCACUCUAGCGAGACUGCCGGUAAUAAACCGGAGGAAGGUGGGGAUGACGUCAAAUCAUCAUGCCCCUUAUGACCUGGGCUACACACGUGCUACAAUGGCUGGUACAACGAGUCGCAAGCCGGUGACGGCAAGCUAAUCUCUUAAAGCCAGUCUCAGUUCGGAUUGUAGGCUGCAACUCGCCUACAUGAAGUCGGAAUCGCUAGUAAUCGCGGAUCAGCACGCCGCGGUGAAUACGUUCCCGGGCCU
RNAcentral lists this ribosomal RNA (1368 nucleotides) under uncultured bacterium. Its description in RNAcentral is "bacterial SSU rRNA". It matches the Rfam family "Bacterial small subunit ribosomal RNA", at positions 28 to 1381 of the family's 1533-position model. The record is from RNAcentral.